GUCGAACGAGAAUCACUGGAAGGAGUUUUCGGACAACGGAAGGUGAGGACAGUGGCGGACGGGUGAGUAACGCGUGAGGAACCUGCCUUUCAGAGGGGGACAACAGUUGGAAACGACUGCUAAUACCGCAUGACACAUAGAGAUCGCAUGGUUUUUAUGUCAAAGAUUUAUCGCUGAAAGAUGGCCUCGCGUCUGAUUAGCUAGUUGGUGAGGUAACGGCCCACCAAGGCGACGAUCAGUAGCCGGACUGAGAGGUUGACCGGCCACAUUGGGACUGAGAUACGGCCCAGACUCCUACGGGAGGCAGCAGUGGGGAAUAUUGGGCAAUGGGCGCAAGCCUGACCCAGCAACGCCGCGUGAAGGAAGAAGGCUUUCGGGUUGUAAACUUCUUUUGUCGGGGACGAGUAGAAGACGGUACCUGGCGAAUAAGCCACGGCUAACUACGUGCCAGCAGCCGCGGUAAUACGUAGGUGGCAAGCGUUGUCCGGAUUUACUGGGUGUAAAGGGCGUGUAGCCGGGAAGGCAAGUCAGAUGUGAAAUCCACGGGCUUAACUCGUGAACUGCAUUUGAAACUACUUUUCUUGAGUAUCGGAGAGGCAAUCGGAAUUCCUAGUGUAGCGGUGAAAUGCGUAGAUAUUAGGAGG
Molecule: ribosomal RNA, 644 nt
Filed under: uncultured bacterium
Lineage: Bacteria
Description: bacterial SSU rRNA
Rfam family: Bacterial small subunit ribosomal RNA
Source: RNAcentral